This is a long non-coding RNA of Oncorhynchus keta (chum salmon), 435 nucleotides long. RefSeq lists it as uncharacterized. The transcript is spliced from 3 exons. NCBI's taxonomy places the organism in Eukaryota, Metazoa, Chordata, Actinopteri, Salmoniformes, Salmonidae. The record is from RefSeq and is a predicted model, not a curated record.
GUUAAAAAACUGUGUUCUCUAGGUAUCUCUAAGAGGUAGGAGUGUAUCUGUGUUCUCCAGGUAUCUCUAAGAGUUAGGAGUGUAUCUGUGUUCUCUAAGAGGUAGGAGUGUAUCUGUGUUCUCUAAGUGGUAGGAGUGUAUCUGUGUUCUCCAGGUAUCUCUAAGUGGUAGGAGUGUAUCUAUGUUCUCCAGGUAUCUCUAAGAGGUAGGAGUGUAUCUGUGUUCUCCAAGAGGUAGGGGUGUAUCUGUGUUCUCCAGGUAUCUCUAAGUGGUAGGAGUGUAUCUGUGUUCUCUAAGAGGUAGGAGUGUAUCUGUGUUCUCCAGGUAUCUCUAAGUGGUAGGAGUGUAUCUGUGUUCUCUAAGUAUCUCUAAGUGGUAGGAGUGUAUCUAUGUUCUCCAGGUAUCUCUAAGAGGUAGGAGUGUAUCUGUGUUCUC